AAAGUCCCGCAAGGGAUUAGUAGAGUGGCAAACGGGUGAGUAACGCGUGGGUGACCUGCCUUCGAGCGGGGGAUAACGUUCCGAAAGGGACGCUAAUACCGCAUAACAUCCUGCUUUUGAAUAAGCGGAGAUCAAAGCUGCGGAUCGCAAGACGUAGCACUCGAAGAGGGGCCCGCGUCCGAUUAGCUAGUUGGUGAGGUAAUGGCUCACCAAGGCGACGAUCGGUAGCCGGCCUGAGAGGGCGGACGGCCACACUGGGACUGAGACACGGCCCAGACUCCUGCGGGAGGCAGCAGUGGGGAAUUGUUCGCAAUGGGCGCAAGCCUGACGACGCAACGCCGCGUGGAGGAUGAAGAUCUUCGGGUCGUAAACUCCUUUCGAUCGAGACGAAUGGCCUCCGGGUUAACACCCCGGAGGAAUGACGGUACCGAGAGAAGAAGCCCCGGCUAACUCCGUGCCAGCAGCCGCGGUAAUACGGGGGGGGCAAGCGUUGUUCGGAAUUACUGGGCGUAAAGGGCUCGUAGGUGGCCAACUAAGUCAGACGUGAAAUCCCUCGGCUUAACCGGGGAACUGCGUCUGAUACUGGAUGGCUUGAGUAUGGGAGAGGGAUGCGGAAUUCCAGGUGUAGCGGUGAAAUGCGUAGAUAUCUGGAGGAACACCGGUGGCGAAGGCGGCAUCCUGGACCAUUACUGACACUGAGGAGCGAAAGCCAGGGGAGCAAACGGGAUUAGAUACCCCGGUAGUCCUGGCCCUAAACGAUGAAUGCUUGGUGUGACGGGUAUCGAUCCCUGUCGUGCCG
RNAcentral lists this ribosomal RNA (799 nucleotides) under uncultured Pseudomonadota bacterium. Its description in RNAcentral is "bacterial SSU rRNA". It matches the Rfam family "Bacterial small subunit ribosomal RNA", at positions 71 to 848 of the family's 1533-position model. The record is from RNAcentral. Lineage: Bacteria; Pseudomonadati; Pseudomonadota.